This 214-nucleotide ribosomal RNA is filed under the name uncultured bacterium. RNAcentral describes it as "partial 16S ribosomal RNA". It matches the Rfam family "Bacterial small subunit ribosomal RNA", at positions 524 to 738 of the family's 1533-position model. The record is from RNAcentral.
UACGAAGGGGGCGAGCGUUGUUCGGAUUUACUGGGCGUAAAGGGCGCGUAGGCGGCGCGAGAAGUCGAGUGUGAAAGCCCCGGGCUCAACCUGGGAAUUGCGCUCGAUACUCUUGUGCUUGAGUUCGGGAGAGGAGCGUGGAAUUCCCAGUGUAGAGGUGAAAUUCGUAGAUAUUGGGAAGAACACCGGUGGCGAAGGCGGCUCUCCGUCGGAC